Molecule: ribosomal RNA, 551 nt
Filed under: Vibrio parahaemolyticus
Lineage: Bacteria; Pseudomonadati; Pseudomonadota; Gammaproteobacteria; Vibrionales; Vibrionaceae
Description: bacterial SSU rRNA
Rfam family: Bacterial small subunit ribosomal RNA
Source: RNAcentral
GACGGGUGAGUAAUGCCUAGGAAAUUGCCCUGAUGUGGGGGAUAACCAUUGGAAACGAUGGCUAAUACCGCAUGAUGCCUACGGGCCAAAGAGGGGGACCUUCGGGCCUCUCGCGUCAGGAUAUGCCUAGGUGGGAUUAGCUAGUUGGUGAGGUAAGGGCUCACCAAGGCGACGAUCCCUAGCUGGUCUGAGAGGAUGAUCAGCCACACUGGAACUGAGACACGGUCCAGACUCCUACGGGAGGCAGCAGUGGGGAAUAUUGCACAAUGGGCGCAAGCCUGAUGCAGCCAUGCCGCGUGUGUGAAGAAGGCCUUCGGGUUGUAAAGCACUUUCAGUCGUGAGGAAGGUAGUGUAGUUAAUAGCUGCAUUAUUUGACGUUAGCGACAGAAGAAGCACCGGCUAACUCCGUGCCAGCAGCCGCGGUAAUACGGAGGGUGCGAGCGUUAAUCGGAAUUACUGGGCGUAAAGCGCAUGCAGGUGGUUUGUUAAGUCAGAUGUGAAAGCCCGGGGCUCAACCUCGGAAUUGCAUUUGAAACUGGCAGACUAGAGUA